RNAcentral lists this ribosomal RNA (616 nucleotides) under uncultured Chthoniobacter sp. RNAcentral's name for it is "bacterial SSU rRNA". It matches the Rfam family "Bacterial small subunit ribosomal RNA", at positions 68 to 672 of the family's 1533-position model. Lineage: Bacteria; Pseudomonadati; Verrucomicrobiota; Spartobacteria; Chthoniobacterales; Chthoniobacteraceae. The record is from RNAcentral.
GUUUGNNGCANUACAANGCGAUGUUCAGUGGCGCAAGGGUGCGUAACACGUGGGCAAUCUGCCCGGGAGCGCGGGAUAGCUUGGCGAAAGCCAAAUUAAUACCGCAUGUGGCUAUUGAGGGAUUCCUCGAAAUGCUAAAGAUGGCGCAAGCUAUCACUCCUGGAUGAGCCCGCGGCCUAUCAGCUAGUUGGUGAGGUAACGGCUCACCAAGGCUAUGACGGGUAGCUGGUCUGAGAGGACGACCAGCCACACUGGAACUGAGACACGGUCCAGACACCUACGGGUGGCAGCAGUCGAGAAUUUUUCUCAAUGGGGGAAACCCUGAAGGAGCGACGCCGCGUGGAGGAUGAAGGUUUUCGGAUUGUAAACUCCUGUCAUUUGGGAACAAACCUUUCAUUUAACUGAUGAAAGACUGAUAGUACCAGAAGAGGAAGAGACGGCUAACUCUGUGCCAGCAGCCGCGGUAAUACAGAGGUCUCAACCGUUGUUCGGAUUCAUUGGGGCGUAAAGGGUGCGUANGCGGUCGCGCAAGUCGGAUGUGAAAUCUCGGGGCUCANCCCGAAACUGCAUUCGAUACUGCGUGGCUAGAGUGCUGGANGGGAGACUGGAAUUUACG